This 495-nucleotide ribosomal RNA is filed under the name uncultured bacterium. RNAcentral's name for it is "bacterial SSU rRNA". It matches the Rfam family "Bacterial small subunit ribosomal RNA", at positions 30 to 526 of the family's 1533-position model. The record is from RNAcentral.
AUUGAACGCUGGCGGCAGGCCUAACACAUGCAAGUCGGGCGGUAACAUGGGACUUUGGUUCUGAUGACGAGCGGCGGACGGGUGAGUAAAGUCUAGGAAUCUGCCCAAUAGAGGGGGACAACGCGGGGAAACUCGCGCUAAUACCGCAUACGCCCUACGGGGGAAAGGUGCUUAACUGUACCGCUAUUGGAUGAGCCUAGAUCGGAUUAGCUAGUUGGUAGGGUAAAGGCCUACCAAGGCGACGAUCCGUAGCUGGUCUGAGAGGAUGAUCAGCCACACUGGGACUGAGACACGGCCCAGACUCCUACGGGAGGCAGCAGUGGGGAAUAUUGGACAAUGGGGGCAACCCUGAUCCAGCCAUGCCGCGUGUGUGAAGAAGGUCUUCGGAUUGUAAAGCACUUUAAGUUGGGAGGAAGGGGUAGAGUAACGACCUACUUUUGACGUUACCAACAGAAUAAGCACCGGCUAACUUCGUGCCAGCCGCCGCCGUAACAC